GAUGAACGCUGGCGGCGUGCUUAACACAUGCAAGUCGAACGGUGAAGCAGGAGCUUGCUCUUGUGGAUCAGUGGCGAACGGGUGAGUAACACGUGAGCAACCUGCCCCUGACUCUGGGAUAAGCGCUGGAAACGGCGUCUAAUACUGGAUAUGUGAUGUGACCGCAUGGUCUGCAUCUGGAAAGAAUUUCGGUUGGGGAUGGGCUCGCGGCCUUUCAGCUUGUUGGUGAGGUAAUGGCUCACCAAGGCGUCGACGGGUAGCCGGCCUGAGAGGGUGACCGGCCACACUGGGACUGAGACACGGCCCAGACUCCUACGGGAGGCAGCAGUGGGGAAUAUUGCACAAUGGGCGGGAGCCUGAUGCAGCAACGCCGCGUGAGGGAUGACGGCCUUCGGGUUGUAAACCUCUUUUAGCAGGGAAGAAGCGAAAGUGACGGUACCUGCAGAAAAAGCACCGGCUAACUACGUGCCAGCAGCCGCCGCGG
This 484-nucleotide ribosomal RNA is filed under the name uncultured bacterium. RNAcentral's name for it is "partial 16S ribosomal RNA". It matches the Rfam family "Bacterial small subunit ribosomal RNA", at positions 28 to 523 of the family's 1533-position model. The record is from RNAcentral.